This 366-nucleotide ribosomal RNA is filed under the name uncultured organism. RNAcentral's name for it is "bacterial SSU rRNA". It matches the Rfam family "Bacterial small subunit ribosomal RNA", at positions 526 to 896 of the family's 1533-position model. The record is from RNAcentral.
CGGAGGAUCCAAGCGUUAUCCGGAAUCAUUGGGUUUAAAGGGUCCGUAGGCGGUUUGGUAAGUCAGUGGUGAAAGCCCAUCGCUUAACGAUGGAACGGCCAUUGAUACUGCCAGACUUGAAUUACUGGGAAGUAACUAGAAUAUGUAGUGUAGCGGUGAAAUGCUUAGAUAUUACAUGGAAUACCAAUUGCGAAGGCAGGUUACUACCAGUGGAUUGACGCUGAUGGACGAAAGCGUGGGGAGCGAACAGGAUUAGAUACCCUGGUAGUCCACGCCGUAAACGAUGGAUACUAGCUGUUGGGAGCAAUCUCAGUGGCUAAGCGAAAGUGAUAAGUAUCCCACCUGGGGAGUACGAACGCAAGUUUG